RNAcentral lists this ribosomal RNA (722 nucleotides) under uncultured bacterium. RNAcentral describes it as "bacterial SSU rRNA". It matches the Rfam family "Bacterial small subunit ribosomal RNA", at positions 779 to 1498 of the family's 1533-position model. The record is from RNAcentral.
UAGAUACCCCGGUAGUCCACGCCCUAAACGAUGUUCACUAGUCGUCGGGAUGCUAGUCAUCUCGGUGAUGCACUUAACAGAUUAAGUGAACCGCCUGGGGAGUACGGUCGCAAGAUUAAAACUCAAAGGAAUAGACGGGGACCCGCACAAGUGGUGGAGCAUGUGGUUUAAUUCGAAGAUACGCGAAGAACCUUACCUAGCCUUGACAUUGAUUGAAUUUUCCAGAGAUGGAGAAGUGCCUUUCGGGGAACAUGAAAACAGGUGCUGCACGGCUGUCGUCAGCUCGUGUCGUGAGAUGUUGGGUUAAGUCCCGCAACGAGCGCAACCCUCGUCCUUAGUUGCCAGCAGGUUAAGCUGGGCACUUUAAGGAGACUGCCUUCGUAAGGAGGAGGAAGGUGAGGACGACGUCAAGUCAUCAUGGCACUUAUGGCUAGGGCUACACACGUGCUACAAUGGGGCGUACAGAGAGUUGCGACACCGCGAGGUGGAGCCAAUCUCAUAAAGCGUCUCUCAGUUCGGAUUGAAGUCUGCAACUCGACUUCAUGAAGCUGGAAUCACUAGUAAUCGUAGAUCAGCAACGCUACGGUGAAUACGUUCCCGGGUCUUGUACUCACCGCCCGUCACACCAUGGGAGUUGAUUUCACCCGAAAUUGGGAAGCUAACCUUCGGGAGGCUACCACUUACGGUGGAAUUAGCGGCUGGGGUGAAGUCGUAACAAGGUA